UACGGAGGGUGCAAGCGUUAUCCGGAUUCACUGGGUUUAAAGGGUGCGUAGGUGGGUUGGUAAGUCAGUGGUGAAAUCUCCGAGCUUAACUUGGAAACUGCCAUUGAUACUAUCAAUCUUGAAUAUUGUGGAGGUCAGCGGAAUAUGUCAUGUAGCGGUGAAAUGCUUAGAUAUGACAUAGAACACCAAUUGCGAAGGCAGCUGGCUACACAAAUAUUGACACUGAGGCACGAAAGCGUGGGGAUCAAACAGG
RNAcentral lists this ribosomal RNA (253 nucleotides) under uncultured bacterium. RNAcentral's name for it is "partial 16S ribosomal RNA". It matches the Rfam family "Bacterial small subunit ribosomal RNA", at positions 524 to 776 of the family's 1533-position model. The record is from RNAcentral.